CUGGCUAGUCCUAAACGGCUGCCUUCAGCCUUUUCGUUGGAUCGGCCAGAUCCUGAUCCGCUGGACUCUAAGAGUUCUUGCCUUGAAGACUUAAAUGAAUCUCUCUCUGUUUCCUCUUUCAUUUUGGGAUCACCUAAACUUGCACCGUACUUUAUAAUAGAAACAAUAACAAAAAGAAAAGGAAAUUCAUGUCGAAUCGACCCUGCACACACCCAUUAGAUUUGGUCGAGCUUGCCUGGAACUUUUUGAGUUUUGACUGGUUGGUUUUUUCCCAUUUCCUUUCGGUUUAAAUACAUGGACCAACCAGUCAAAAGCAGGAAAAUGUGAGCCAAAGACAGUGGAAUCUGCCCAUUCUUGACUGUCAGGAAAAUUGCAACGGUAAUUCAACCACAGGCAACAUAUACCAAUAUAAUAUAUAUGCUAUUUUUGACUCCCAAUGAAGUCCAAUUAGCAUCUCAUGAUUUAGAUUAAUCCAGCUCACCGAGAGUAGAAGAAAUUCAGGAUAGAGGAGGAUGGAACAUGAUAUUUAUCCCAUCAUGGGAGAGGAGGAAAAGGGGGAUUUCUGACAGUAUUUUAGUUCAAGAAAGAAGUGGGGGGGAGGGGGGGGGGGGGUUGUUAACAACAAAUUUCUAAUUUACUCUCUAUUCAAUGCAGGCUAGAAUGGUUUGUGCAGAGAUGCUGUGGCUUCUGUUCCAAGCUUGCUUCUUCUCCACCGUUGUCCCGAAGAACCAGAUGCAAUUAUUUCUACUAACUGCAUUCGAAACUCUGAAGCACCAUUUUACUGAGCAAGACAGUUGCAUAGAUACAGUUAUAACAAAAAUUCUCAUACAAACCAGCCCCGAGCCACAGUUUUUUUCUUCUUUCAUUUCUUUUCUCUUCUCAACUUACAUGUUGCAACGAGCACGAGACGGGCUAUAUGGUGUCAACCUUAACUCUCUCAUUUUCAGUCUUGUGCAUUGUCAGCACAUAGUUUGACGGCUGUGACCUUCUUUCAAACAUGUAAUAUCAACACGACUCUCGAAUCCCUUGGAAGAGAGUGUUGACCAUCAUGGCAAGAUGGUUAAAUUUAGAGUGCCGGAUAGAGUGCUGUAAAUAUAAAAGCAGACUGGUUUGGUUGUGCAAUAAAAUAAUGUGAAACAUUGAU
RNA transcript from Populus euphratica (Euphrates poplar), 1144 nucleotides. It is a transcript of the gene named formin-like protein 18, with no coding region annotated. The transcript has 2 exons. NCBI's taxonomy places the organism in Eukaryota, Viridiplantae, Streptophyta, Magnoliopsida, Malpighiales, Salicaceae. The record is from RefSeq and is a predicted model, not a curated record.